UACAUGCAAGUCGAGCGGACAGAUGGGAGCUUGCUCCCUGAUGUUAGCGGCGGACGGGUGAGUAACACGUGGGUAACCUGCCUGUAAGACUGGGAUAACUCCGGGAAACCGGGGCUAAUACCGGAUGGUUGUUUGAACCGCAUGGUUCAAACAUAAAAGGUGGCUUCGGCUACCACUUACAGAUGGACCCGCGGCGCAUUAGCUAGUUGGUGAGGUAACGGCUCACCAAGGCGACGAUGCGUAGCCGACCUGAGAGGGUGAUCGGCCACACUGGGACUGAGACACGGCCCAGACUCCUACGGGAGGCAGCAGUAGGGAAUCUUCCGCAAUGGACGAAAGUCUGACGGAGCAACGCCGCGUGAGUGAUGAAGGUUUUCGGAUCGUAAAGCUCUGUUGUUAGGGAAGAACAAGUACCGUUCGAAUAGGGCGGUACCUUGACGGUACCUAACCAGAAAGCCACGGCUAACUACGUGCCAGCAGCCGCGGUAAUACGUAGGUGGCAAGCGUUGUCCGGAAUUAUUGGGCGUAAAGGGCUCGCAGGCGGUUUCUUAAGUCUGAUGUGAAAGCCCCCGGCUCAACCGGGGAGGGUCAUUGGAAACUGGGGAACUUGAGUGCAGAAGAGGAGAGUGGAAUUCCACGUGUAGCGGUGAAAUGCGUAGAGAUGUGGAGGAACACCAGUGGCGAAGGCGACUCUCUGGUCUGUAACUGACGCUGAGGAGCGAAAGCGUGGGGAGCGAACAGGAUUAGAUACCCUGG
RNAcentral lists this ribosomal RNA (756 nucleotides) under Bacillus sp. (in: firmicutes). RNAcentral describes it as "bacterial SSU rRNA". It matches the Rfam family "Bacterial small subunit ribosomal RNA", at positions 52 to 790 of the family's 1533-position model. The record is from RNAcentral. Lineage: Bacteria; Bacillati; Bacillota; Bacilli; Caryophanales; Bacillaceae.